This is a small nucleolar RNA of Heterocephalus glaber (naked mole-rat), 65 nucleotides long. The record is from Ensembl. Lineage: Eukaryota; Metazoa; Chordata; Mammalia; Rodentia; Bathyergidae.
GCCCUGUGAUGACUGUUUUCAUGUGUCAACUUGGCUGGGCCACAGUACCUAGAUGAUUUUGGGGC